GACGAACGCUGGCGGCGUGCCUAAUACAUGCAAGUCGAACGAACCGCGACUGAGUGCUUGCACUUGGUCAAGGUGAGUGGCGAACGGGUGAGUAACACGUGGGUAACCUACCUCAUAGUGGGGGAUAACAGUCGGAAACGACUGCUAAUACCGCAUAGGACAUAGGAUCACAUGAUCCAGUGAGGAAAGGUGGCGCAAGCUAUCGCUAAGAGAUGGACCCGCGGUGAAUUAGCUAGUUGGUAGGGUAAAGGCCUACCAAGGCGAUGAUGCAUAGCCGACCUGAGAGGGUGAUCGGCCACAUUGGGACUGAGACACGGCCCAAACUCCUACGGGAGGCAGCAGUAGGGAAUCUUCCGCAAUGGACGCAAGUCUGACGGAGCAACGCCGCGUGAGUGAAGAAGGUCUUCGGAUCGUAAAGCUCUGUUGUUAGAGAAGAACAGCGCAUAGAGUAACUGCUAUGCGUGUGACGGUAUCUAACCAGAAAGCCACGGCUAACUACGUG
This 502-nucleotide ribosomal RNA is filed under the name uncultured bacterium. Its description in RNAcentral is "partial 16S ribosomal RNA". It matches the Rfam family "Bacterial small subunit ribosomal RNA", at positions 28 to 507 of the family's 1533-position model. The record is from RNAcentral.